Molecule: long non-coding RNA, 1585 nt
Organism: Oncorhynchus tshawytscha (Chinook salmon)
Lineage: Eukaryota; Metazoa; Chordata; Actinopteri; Salmoniformes; Salmonidae
Source: Ensembl
AGUACAUUAGGUAUUAAGUCGAAAUACUAAUACCAAGUUUGUAUGACCUUCGGGUAAAUAACAGGUGUGAGACCUAGGUUAUGUUUUGAAACGGUAAAGAAGUGCACGGUGUUUACUAGACAGUGGCUAGAUUGGGACACAUUCUAAGGCAGCACACAAUUGAACCUGAUAAUUUAUAUUGUAUUCAAAUUAAAACAAGUAAUUGAAAUACAUUAGACAAUGGCUAAUCAGGAGGCAGAGAAGGUGUUGAAAACAUUGAAAUCAGCAUUAGAGACCAAUGGAGGAAAAGAGGGAAAAAAUUGGAGAAAGAAAGGAGAAAAUUAUACAGACAUUGGAUAGAAGAGGGCAGUAUUGCUGUGCCCAACGGGCUCCCAGACGAAGGGGAGCCUGGUAGAAUGCUGGAAGCGCUGAAGCGUAAAACAUACAAAACCUGUUCCGAGUGGAAACAGGGAGGAGAGCCGAGUAAGGGUCAAAUCAAGGAAGACAUGGAGAAGGCUAAAUUGAAGGAACGCAUAGGACUGGCUAUGCUGGAAAAACUCAAGAAAAUGAAAACCCACGUAUGAAAACCCACCAAAACCACAGGGAGGUAGACUAUACCCGGAACUCCCUAAAGCGCCACCACCCUAUGAUAGUCCACGAAUAAUGGCACCUGUACUGGAUCGCUCAGCCACAGUAAACUACCACAAAAGACCAGAUGAGGGCAGCAAAGAAAUACAGGCUCUGGUGGAAGCUGCCAGAGAGCUGAGCAGAGGAGUGGCUGAACUAAGUAAAGUACAGAUGGAAGGAGGAAAUAUGAGCAUAGACAGCAGGAGUGAAAGUGGAUCCUCGGAAUCAGAUGGACUGAAACAAGCCUGACAAAUACCCAAGAGGAAGAAGAGGAGCGGAGGAGAGUAUGGAAUGAACUCCAAGACAAACUCAGAAAGGAGGAGGGAGCAGUGAAAAUACUGGAACGGACCCUGAAAGACAUGGAACGGAUUGAAAUAAGGUGUAAGGAACAGACUAAGCUGAAUCAAUGCACACCGACAUCAGGGCCAGGUGUACAUUUCAUCAGGCUGGGUACGCACAGCCAAGGAACAGAGGAAUAUGAAAAUGGUGAAGACACACCCCGGGUUGGGCCCCCACAGUGUGAGCUUGACCAAAGAUUCAUCUGUGGCGUAUUUGAGGGGGGCCUAUGGGAUCAACAGUCCGCUCCCGCACACCACACCAGGAGUAAGACCAAACAGGGUGGUGCUAACAUGAUGCCACUAAUACAACUACCUGGUGGACAAACCGUAUACAAACAUUGGGCUCACAGGGACUUGCAGACUCUAGUAGAAGCCCUGCCGCUACCAGAAGAGUCUGAAUGUAGGUGGGUGAAGGCCUUUGAGAGCCUGACUGCAGCGGAUGAACUGACAGUAUGAGACAUGGUGGCUGUCAUGAAUAGAUGCAUGGGGGACCAGGAAUGUUGUGAACUCAUGAAUGAUGCAGGGAUGAGAGGGAUGUUUGCCAUAAAGACUCCAUUUGAUCAAUACUGCAAUGGGAUGUGGACUGCCAUCAGGAGGAAAUACCCCACUCAACCCAGACCCUAGAAGAGGAUGAAACUGUG